This 455-nucleotide ribosomal RNA is filed under the name uncultured bacterium. RNAcentral's name for it is "bacterial SSU rRNA". It matches the Rfam family "Bacterial small subunit ribosomal RNA", at positions 30 to 472 of the family's 1533-position model. The record is from RNAcentral.
AUUGAACGCUGGCGGCAGGCCUAACACAUGCAAGUCGAACGGUAACAGGAAGCAGCUUGCUUCUUUGCUGACGAGUGGCGGACGGGUGAGUAAUGUCUGGGAAACUGCCUGAUGGAGGGGGAUAACUACUGGAAACGGUAGCUAAUACCGCAUAACGUCGCAAGACCAAAGAGGGGGACCUUCGGGCCUCUUGCCAUCGGAUGUGCCCAGAUGGGAUUAGCUAGUAGGUGGGGUAACGGCUCACCUAGGCGACGAUCCCUAGCUGGUCUGAGAGGAUGACCAGCCACACUGGAACUGAGACACGGUCCAGACUCCUACGGGAGGCAGCAGUGGGGAAUAUUGCACAAUGGGCGCAAGCCUGAUGCAGCCAUGCCGCGUGUAUGAAGAAGGCCUUCGGGUUGUAAAGUACUUUCAGCGGGGAGGAAGGGAGUAAAGUUAAUACCUUUGCUCAUUGA